Molecule: long non-coding RNA, 1881 nt
Organism: Vicia villosa (hairy vetch)
Lineage: Eukaryota; Viridiplantae; Streptophyta; Magnoliopsida; Fabales; Fabaceae
Exons: 3
Source: RefSeq, a predicted model, not a curated record
UUAGGGUGAUGUGUAUUGUGGCUAAUCGACUUCUCACGACUUACACUCUCUAUUGCAUCUCUCUCAUCUCUUUCAAAUAAGACGUUCGCCGGAAAUCGCUCCGCCGCGCCGGAGGCGGCGAAGUUCGCCCUAUCUAGCAAUUGAACCCACCGGAACAUCGCCCUAACGCUCCUCUAUCCUCGCCUGUCCUCAGUUCCAAAAAAAAUCAACCUAUUGCUCUAAAUCGGGACAUGAGGUGAACCCUAGAUCUAAUCAGCGGAGGAAUUUAAACGUGAACGACUAUCAAACCUAAGAUACGGCCAUGGGGGAAACAUUUAGGGAGUCUCAAUCUACCUCACAAUAAAGAGGCGGUGCGAAGAAGAACGAAAAGAUGGAGCUUACCUGGACUCGUCGGAGAAGAAAGAUUAAAGAAUUCCGGCGGGGCUUCCGAGUUGAUCUGUGUACCGCGAAUCCUUCAGCUUGAGAAUCUCGUGACGAUAAUGAUGAAGGUGAGUUGAAGAUGAACCGAAGGAGAAAUUGAAGAUUCUGUUAUGAUGAGUUGAAGGUGAUGAAGAUGAUGAAUUCAGAGAGAGUGCGUGAGUUGAAAGCUUGAUGAGAGGUUGCAGCGGCGGAGGAUGUGGUGAGGUUGUGGCUGAGCUCAAUUGAUAAGAGCUUCAGAUGUUGAAGCUCUACCAAUGGUGGAUUCGUGAGCUUUUAGUGGAGGUAAGGGAGAGAGAAUGAUUAUGGUGUAGCAGUGGUGGAGAAUUGAAGGUGGUUGAGAGAUUGAAUUAUGGAGGAGAAGAAGUAGUGAAGAUGAAGAAUGGGAGUGAAGUGAAGAUGGUGAUGAAGUGUGAAAAAUGGUGAAGACCCCUUGAAGCUGAGUGAAGGUUCAGUUAUAUAGAGUUUCAGGUUUGUAACAGGUUUUUCCUUGGUGGAUUUGUAUGAUGCAGGGACUGUCUCAUUGUUGCAAAUUUGGAAAUGACUUGCGGUUUUGCGGGAGUUCGGUUCAGCUUGAAUUUGCUUCUUGAGUGUACCAAAUUAUUGAAAGUUAUGGGAUUUUCCGUCAAGUCGCUCUUUUGUUCUUCUAAACUGAUGCCAUUUUCCUUUUAUGCAGGGGCUGGCUGUUCCAUUAGUGAUGCAACUGGUUUUAAGGGUCAAGUGAUGACUCAGUCUACAUGUUAUUUGGUAAGGUAAAUAGGUUAGAGGAUUGGAUCCUGAAGUAUGAGGUUUGGGUUUUAAUCCCAAGUACAAACUGUCUUGAGGGGUAUAGAUAUAUAAAGAUUGCAUUUAAAUUGGUGGACAUGUCUUGAGUUUUAUAUGGUUUGGAACUGAGAUAAAUUGGUAUUGAUGUAGGGGCACUGUUUUUGAAAUGUGUGAAUGGACUGUUGGUGUUUAGAUGUAGAUGUAUGUUUAGAAAUUUGGAUUUUUUUGAAUGGUGAAUGCUGUUUUGAGCUCCCCUCUUUGAAUUGGUUUUUCUGGUUCUUUUUCUUUUAUGAAUUGCUGCAAGUUUGUGAACUGGUUCAGUGUGUUUGGUGCAGGUCUUUUGGUUACCUUUGUUAUUAUUGUGUGCAGCAAGGAGCUAGAAAUUGCGGAACACAGUUUAACUUGGAGUUAGCUCAGGGGUAGCAAGCUGGGUUAUGGGCAUGGCCAUGUAGAUGAAAGAACAAGAAGUUAAAGGGAGGAUACUCGGGUUUGGUUGAGAUGACAUGGCGAUGAAGCUCGGUGAUCCUACUUGCGACGCCUAAAGCAAAGAAUUCUUCUGUGUAAUUUUUGUUGUUAUGCAGUAAGAGUAAAAAUGUAAUAAUAGUGAUACUCAGUUAGAUGAAUACACCUUAUGAAUAGUAUUUACACAUGGCAGACUUGAAAUUGUAAAAACCUUCUUUUGAAUUCCAACUUUGAAAA